GUCUCUGUAGCUCAGCUGGUUAGAGUGCCACAUUGGUAAUGUGGAGGUCCCGAGUUCGAUUCUCGGCAGAGGCU
This 74-nucleotide transfer RNA is filed under the name Candidatus Pacearchaeota archaeon CG10_big_fil_rev_8_21_14_0_10_30_48. RNAcentral's name for it is "tRNA-Thr". It matches the Rfam family "tRNA". Rfam says of the family: Transfer RNA (tRNA) molecules are approximately 80 nucleotides in length. Their secondary structure includes four short double-helical elements and three loops (D, anti-codon, and T loops). Lineage: Archaea; Nanobdellati. The record is from RNAcentral.